This is a long non-coding RNA of Gordionus sp. m RMFG-2023, 403 nucleotides long. RefSeq lists it as uncharacterized. The transcript is spliced from 3 exons. Lineage: Eukaryota; Metazoa; Nematomorpha; Gordioida; Chordodea; Parachordodidae. The record is from RefSeq and is a predicted model, not a curated record.
UGUAAAACAAAAUCUAUUCUCAAAAUCCUAUAAUUCAGAGCUUCUAACAGUUGGUGCCGUUUAUUUUUUUCAACCACGGAGAAGAUAUCUGGGAAGAGUGGACGCAGUGUACUUAUAAAAUAUACGACGGUGGAAAAUAAAAAUUCGAAAUAAGUAAUAGAGCGACAGCGACACGACAAAAUACAAAUAUAUGUAAUUACCAAUGACUAUUAAUAGUGAGCUUUUGCGACGCGACACGACAUUCCCGCCAGAUUUGUCGCAUUAAACAUAGAAACAAGUUACAAAACAUUUUGUUUUUUUUCAAAGCGACAUAACUACAAUAUGGACGAAAAAGAAAAUUUGCAAAAAAUCAUUAAAGAAGAUUUGAUCAACUCCAUCAGAUACCAUCAGCUGAAAACAAUAU